AUGUAUAUUUGUAUGUGCGUAUAUAGGAAUGUAUUCACUCCCAAUCUCAAGUUGAAACAAGUCACAAAAAAGUUAAAGCGUGGGGAGAGGUGUGGGUGGAAGAAGCCAGGCAGAGAAAAAUACCUGACCAAAGCGUCUCCAGUAAAAAGGGAGAGAGAGAGGGAAAAAAAAAAAAAAAAAAUCAAACCUUUAGAAAGAAUCCUUAAAACAGAAGAGAGUUGGAAGAGGUCCUGGGACUUAGCAGCUUUUCAGAAAGCCCAGAAGCAGAAAGACAGGCAGAGGCGCCCUGCUGGGGUCCCAGGCAGCCGCCCCCCCUGCCGGCCCGGGCCGCGGACUCCCAUGUUCCCAGGCAGGUGGGAGCCGCCGGGAGCGCAGCCGCGGGGCGCGGGGCCGGGGCCGGGGCCGGGGCCGGGGCCGGGGCGCGGGCUUCUCCGGCGGGCGGCGGGGCUGGGCGGCUCCACGGCUCCCCGUGCGGACCGGCGGCUGUUGUGUCGGCGGCGCAGGCGGGACACCGUCCAGGGAAAUGCCUAUUACAUCAUCUUAAAGGAAUACGGCUUGGGGCGAGCGCCGGAGAGCGGGGGCAGCGCGAGCAGCGAGGUCCGCGGCGGCAGGUCCCGGGGCCGCGCUCGCGCCUCUUGCUCGGUCCUGCUCGGGGCGGCCGCCGCCCUGAGCCCUGCGCCCUGCGCCCUGCGCCCUCCGCCCUGCGCUCUCCGCCCUGCGCCCUGCGCUCUCCGCCCUGCGCCCUCCUUGCUCCGCGCUCCGCGUCCUGCCCGAGCCCCGAGGCGGCCGCCCGCUCCCGCCUCCGCUCCUCCGCCGCCGCCGCCACUCCCCAGAAGGGACCCCCAGCCCCGCGGCGACGGAAACGCCAGUGACUUUGCAUCGGAGAAUCUACAAACCGACCCUUGGCACAGGCUCUGGAUUUCCGCUGAAGGGCAAAUUUCCCCUCUGUUGCUUUUUUUUUUUUUUUUUUUUUUUAAAAGAAAGAAAGAGCGCACAGCGAACGACCCCAGUGUUCAAGCCACAAAAGUGGCUUUGCCUUAA
RNAcentral lists this long non-coding RNA (1041 nucleotides) under Canis lupus familiaris (dog). RNAcentral's name for it is "lncRNA (ENSCAFG00845019366.1)". Lineage: Eukaryota; Metazoa; Chordata; Mammalia; Carnivora; Canidae. The record is from RNAcentral.